Oncorhynchus tshawytscha (Chinook salmon) is the source of this 4183-nucleotide long non-coding RNA. NCBI's taxonomy places the organism in Eukaryota, Metazoa, Chordata, Actinopteri, Salmoniformes, Salmonidae. The record is from Ensembl.
GCGGUGGUCAAGGCUGCUCUCAGUAUCCUGGUCAACAAAGCCGUCCUGCAGGGAUGCCCUUUGCCACGGCACGAGAUUAACAGGCACCUGAUGAAGUUCCGAGGUGGGACCUUCCCUCUCUCAACCAUUGGCUCCUGUAAAGGGGGCGGUGGCAGGAAGGGGUAGGACAGUAGCAUGUGGAGAUGAGCCAAUACCAGCCCGCGAAAGAAGGGGAAACCCCGCCUCCAACUGGAGCUGUGGAGAUUCUCUCAGAGAAGGGUCAUUGUCCAGCGCUGAUGUCCUCUUCAUCACCAACGGCAAUACUCCGAGGUCAGUGAUGCUAACCUGAGCCGUUCAUUUGACCCUUUUGGGAAGUAUCCAUUAGGAUUGUUUUCCAGUAGAAUGAGUUUAUAUGAUGCAACCACUAGUAUGUUAUUGAUAUCAUGUAGCAUGCUGUGUUCUAGCCUCUAUGAAAUGUGACCGGUGCCUAGAUUUGGUCAUAAGUAGCAAAAUGUUUUUUUUUUUUUAUAUAUAUUGGAUAAAAGUAGAGACUCAGAGCUAGAAAAUAGUUGAGGAACAAUGGGAAAGUAAUAAACUUGUAACCUCACUGGAGAGCUCUUCUUCGUCUACACCCAUUCAGGAUCAUUCACACCCUCUUAAGCCUUAACCCCACCCAUCUCUUUAAGGAUUCACACAUGUGAGGUUAUAUACUAAACAGAGUCAGUAGUUUAGUAAACAACCAAAGAUUUCAAGACUAAAAGUGGUAAAAGUAGUAGCCUACAAUAAGGGAAAACACCAGGUAAAAAUACACUUUAUCUAGUUCUUGGCCUAUAUCCUAAUCUGACUUUGGUGCAGGUCAUGUUGUUCUUUACAUUACCGUCUCUGGUAAACACACACUAUAUCAAAUAAUAUAUACGUUUAUUUGUCACAUGCACAGGAUACAGAAGGUGUAAAUAGUACAGUGAAGUGGUUACUUGCAUAGUACCAAUAUCAAAAACAGAAAGUGUCCAGAUAAACAAAUUGUAUAAAUAUUUUAUCAUUAUUAGAUGAUGCUUAUCAGACACACUUGUCUAAAUUGAUGGGUCAUGUGAAGGAAAUGCUAUAACCACCCCCAGCCACAUCUAGCUAAGUGGAUGGGUCACUAUUGUCUAGACAUGUACACAUGUUCAUGAAAAAUAAAAGAUGGCUGUAAUCACCCCCAGCCACAUCUAGCUAGGUGGAUGGGUCACUAUUGUCUAGACAUGUACACAUGUUCAUGAAAAAUAAAAGAUGGCUGUAAUCACCCCCAGCCACACCUGGCUAAUUUGAUGGGUCAUGUAAUCAUCUGGUUUAGUGUUGUAGACAUGUAGCUUGCUAGCUAAACAAUGAACUGGCAUAAUCCCAACUCAUACUACUACCAAUACAAACAUUGUCAUAGCUGUAGUAUGACUCUGCAGUUAGCUAAAGCGAACCAACUAGGUUCAAUGUUAGCUAGCUAACAUUAGGCUAUAACUAGCAAUGCAAAUGGAUUUCUGAUUCAAGAACAUUUCUACACAGCUCGAACACGUAACAUUAGUUAGCGAGCCAGAUAGCUAACAUGUGAUUUAACUUGCAAUGAAAAUGAAUUUCUGACAAAAUUAUAAACUUUUAAUAUUUGAAAAUGUAGCUAGACUCUUACCCGUAUGUAUACAUGGAUAAAUGCUUCACCGCAGACUGAAACCAUUUAACUUGUUUGGCCAGCGUUGUGUCAAGUCACUCCGGUUCACAUUGACCGUGGCGUGUGCAGAAAGUAGCCCAUCACUUUUUGCAACUGAUCUGUCGAGAUCGCCUACUAAAUUUAGGGCAUUGAUGUUGUUGCGAAAAGUAGCAAAACUUUUGGAGUUCUCGAUUGGCUAACGUUCUAUUGUUAAAUAAGUACACGGUGGAAAGGACUAUCAACACAUACUGAACAGCUCAUGUUAUAGACUGAAGCAUUUUACAUGACAGACCAUUACAAACUCAUCUCCCGGCAUGUCCAGCCCAUCAAUUAUCUCAGCCAAUCAUGGCUAGUGGGAAGGUUCCUGUCUUUGUCCAUUGCUAAACCAACUAGGCUCAUAAUUUAACAAUGGUAUUCGUAUUUACGGAAGGAAUACAAGUUUGUUAUUAAGGCACAUGAAAGUUCACGUUUCAGAAGGGUUUUCUGCCCAAAACCGCAGUUUGAUAAAAAAUAAAUGUUUGCAUUCAAAUGCCUCUCCUUUGAGGUAGUGACUUGUGACAUACACCUAGUUUUCUGAAACGUGUCACAAAUGUGUGAUAGAAUGGAGUAUUGCUGAGACCAUCCAGCAGGGGUCAGUGUAGUGUAGUGUUCUGAUCUUGUACUGUGUGAUUGUACUGAUGUUGUACUGUAGUGUGAUUGUACUGAUGUUGUACUGUACUGUGAUUGUACUGAUAUUGUACUGUUCUGUACUGUGAUAUUGCUGAUUUUGUACUGUACUGUGAUUGUACUGAUGUUGUACUGCAGUGUAGUGUGAUUGCACUAAUGUUGUACUGUACUGUAGUGUGAUUGUACUGAUGUUGUACUGUACUGUAGUGUGAUUGCACUGAUGUUGUAGUGUAGUGUGAUUGUACUGAUGUUGUACUGUAGUGUGAUUGUACUGAUGUUAUACUGCACUGUACUGUGAUUGUACUGUACUGUAGUGUAAUUGUACUGAUGUUGUACUGUAGUGUGAUUGUAUUGAUGUUGUACUGUACUGUAAUGUGAUUGUACUGUACUGUAGUGUAAUUGUACUGGUGUUGUACUGUAGUGUGAUUGCAUUGAUGUUGUACUGUAGUGUGAUUGUACUGAUGUUGUACUGUACUGUAGUGUGAUUGUACUGUACUGUAGUGUAAUUGUACUGAUGUUGUACUGUAGUGUGAUUGCAUUGAUGUUGUACUGUAGUGUGAUUGCACUGAUGUUGUACUGUAGUGUGAUUGUACUGAUGUUGUACUGUAGUGUGAUUGUACUGAUGUUGUACUGUACUGUAAUGUGAUUGUACUGUACUGUAGUGUAAUUGUACUGAUGUUGUACUGUAGUGUGAUUGCAUUGAUGUUGUACUGUAGUGUGAUUGUACUGAUGUUGUACUGUACUGUAGUGUGAUUGUACUGUACUGUAGUGUGAUUGUACUGAUGUUGUAAUAGUGUGAUUGUGCUGAUGUUGUACUAUACUGUGUGUGAUUGCAGUGUUGUAGAUGGGGACCAUGUGAGUCUGUCUCUGUGUUCUUACAAGACUGAUCUGAUCAGGGAGUUACAGACCAUGUGCUCCAGCAAGUCAGAGCCAGACAUCAGUAAGGUACCAUGCACACACACACACACACACACACACACACACACACACACACACACACACACACACACACACACACACACACACACACACACACACACACACACACACACACACACACACACACACACACACACACACACACACACACACACUUUUUCUCUAUCAUUCUCUCUCUCAUACACAUACCAUGAGGUUGACCUUUUCUUUCGGGUGUAUUUCUAUGUGUUGCAGAUUGCUCAGUCCGAGGAGGACUUCAUCGUCUUCUCUGGCUCUCCAAAUGGACAAUCACCCCGCCGCAGGACCGACCAUAAAGAAAAAGCUCUACCACAGAUGACCGGCAGCAGUCACUCCAACCCCAUCCCUGCCUCCAACCCCAUCCCUGCCUCCAACACCAUCCCUGCCUUAGGCAGCCUCUUGCAAGAGGCGAUCGAUGUCCUACCCAUGUCCCAGCUCCCUGUCUCCAGCAGCAGGGGACAGCAGCCACUAGCCUAGCAGCAGCAGCAGUGCCUCCGCACCACGAACACCCACUACGAACACUAACUGCAACGCGAACAGAACUGAACCAAGCAGCAGCAGCAAAACAAGGCAGGCCCUAACCAGACACAACAACAACAACAACGAAAACAACCAACAACACAAGGAAAUCUCGAUCCUACACCGAGACCUGCAUGAAAACAACAACCAUACCAAGUACUAGAUGAACUCCCUUUUUCCUCUUCCUUCACCUUCCUUCCUUCCUUCCUUCCUUCCUUCCUUCCUUCCUUCCUUCCUUCCUUCCUUCCUUCCUUCCUUCCUUCCUUCCUUCCUUCCUUCCUUCCUUCCUUCCUUCCAUCCUUCCUUCCAUCCUUCCUUCCAUCCUUCCUUCCUUCCUUCCUUCCUUCCUUCCUUCCAUCCUUCCUUCCAUCCUUCCUUCCAUCCUUC